AUUGAACGCUGGCGGCAGGCCUAACACAUGCGAGUCGAGCGGAUGAAGGGAGCUUGCUCCUGGAUUCAGCGGCGGACGGGUGAGUAAUGCCUAGGAAUCUGCCUGGUAGUGGGGAUAACGUCCGGAAACGGGCGCUAAUACCGCAUACGUCCUGAGGGAGAAAGUGGGGGAUCUUCAGACCUCACGCUAUCAGAUGAGCCUAGGUCGGAUUAGCUAGUUGGUGGGGUAAAGGCCUACCAAGGCGACGAUCCGUAACUGGUCUGAGAGGAUGAUCAGUCACACUGGAACUGAGACACGGUCCAGACUCCUACGGGAGGCAGCAGUGGGGAAUAUUGGACAAUGGGCGAAAGCCUGAUCCAGCCAUGCCGCGUGUGUGAAGAAGGUCUUCGGAUUGUAAAGCACUUUAAGUUGGGAGGAAGGGCAGUAAGUUAAUACCUUGCUGUUUUGACGUUACCAACAGAAUAAGCACCGGCUAACUUCGUG
This 483-nucleotide ribosomal RNA is filed under the name uncultured bacterium. RNAcentral's name for it is "partial 16S ribosomal RNA". It matches the Rfam family "Bacterial small subunit ribosomal RNA", at positions 30 to 507 of the family's 1533-position model. The record is from RNAcentral.